GAUGAACGCUAGCGAUAGGCUUAACACAUGCAAGUCGAGGGGCAGCGAUGGUAGCAAUACCUGUCGGCGACCGGCGCACGGGUGAGUAACGCGUAUGUAACCUGCCCGCAACAGAGGGAUAACCCGGCGAAAGUCGGACUAAUACCUCAUAAAACAGGGGUUCCGCAUGGGGCUAUUUGUUAAAGAUUUAUUGGUUGCGGAUGGGCAUGCGUACCAUUAGGUAGUUGGUGAGGUAACGGCUCACCAAGCCGUCGAUGGUUAGGGGUUCUGAGAGGAAGGUCCCCCACACUGGUACUGAGACACGGACCAGACUCCUACGGGAGGCAGCAGUGAGGAAUAUUGGUCAAUGGGCGAGAGCCUGAACCAGCCAAGUCGCGUGAAGGAUGACUGCCCUAUGGGUUGUAAACUUCUUUUACAGGGGAAUAAAAUGAGAUACGUGUAUUUUAUUGCAUGUACCUUGUGAAUAAGCAUCGGCUAACUCCGUGCCAGCAGCCGCGGUAAUACGGAGGAUGCGAGCGUAUCCGGAUUUAUUGGGUUUAAAGGGUGCGUAGGUGGGCUGUUAAGUCCGCGGUGAAAGUUUGUCGCUUAACGAUAAAAUUGCCGUUGAAACUGGUAGUCUUGAGUAUAGAUGAAGUAGGCGGAAUGCGUGGUGUAGCGGUGAAAUGCAUAGAGAUCACGCAGAACUCCGAUUGCGAAGGCAGCUUACUAAGGUAUAACUGACACUGAAGCACGAAAGCGUGGGUAUCAAACAGGAUUAGAUACCCUGGUAGUCCACGCAGUAAACGAUGAUACUAGGAGUUUGCGAUAUAGUGUAAGCUCUACAGCGAAAGCGUUAAGUAAUCCACCUGGGGAGUACGCCGGCAACGGUGAAACUCAAAGGAAUUGACGGGGGCCCGCGCAAGCGGAGGAACAUGUGGUUUAAUUCGAUGAUACGCGAGGAACCUUACCCGGGGAUUGAAAUG
Molecule: ribosomal RNA, 962 nt
Filed under: Tannerella forsythia
Lineage: Bacteria; Pseudomonadati; Bacteroidota; Bacteroidia; Bacteroidales; Tannerellaceae
Description: bacterial SSU rRNA
Rfam family: Bacterial small subunit ribosomal RNA
Source: RNAcentral